Molecule: ribosomal RNA, 405 nt
Filed under: uncultured Eubacteriales bacterium
Lineage: Bacteria; Bacillati; Bacillota; Clostridia; Eubacteriales
Description: uncultured Clostridiales bacterium partial 16S ribosomal RNA
Rfam family: Bacterial small subunit ribosomal RNA
Source: RNAcentral
UGGGGAAUAUUGCACAAUGGGGGAAACCCUGAUGCAGCAACGCCGCGUGAAGGAUGAAGGUUUUCGGAUUGUAAACUUCUAUCGACAGGGACGAAAAAAAUGACGGUACCUGAAUAAGAAGCCCCGGCUAACUACGUGCCAGCAGCCGCGGUAAUACGUAGGGGGCAAGCGUUAUCCGGAUUUACUGGGUGUAAAGGGUGAGUAGGCGGUUUGUAAAGUCACGUGUGAAAGCCCGCAGCUUAACUGCGGGACUGCACGAGAAACUUAUGAACUAGAGUACAGGAGAGGUAAGCGGAAUUCCUAGUGUAGCGGUGAAAUGCGUAGAUAUUAGGAAGAACACCAGUGGCGAAGGCGGCUUACUGGACUGAAACUGACGCUGAGUCACGAAAGCGUGGGGAGCGAACA